RNAcentral lists this non-coding RNA (29 nucleotides) under Bos taurus (domestic cattle). The record is from RNAcentral. RNAcentral also lists the same sequence under 2 other names. Lineage: Eukaryota; Metazoa; Chordata; Mammalia; Artiodactyla; Bovidae.
AGGUCGCUGGUUCGAUUCCGGCUCGAAGG